This 520-nucleotide ribosomal RNA is filed under the name Smirnovipinidae sp. DZMB391. RNAcentral's name for it is "partial 28S ribosomal RNA". The record is from RNAcentral. Lineage: Eukaryota; Metazoa; Arthropoda; Copepoda; Cyclopoida; Smirnovipinidae.
GGAAAAGAAACUAACGAAACUUGGAAUCGACGGACUACCCCCUGGCGAAAAUAUCGCGCAGUGUAAAUUCAAUAGUUUGCCGUCUUUUGCAAACACACUGAAUAUGACUAUGGGAGCAAAUUCUGACAAAAAUUUCGUGCGUUUGGAAAUUUCGACUUCGCGAAAAUUUGUUGAUGCCAAAUACGCUGCGAAACUAACGAAUUUUGGAAUCAACGGACUACCCCCUGAAGAAUAUACUGCGCAGUGCAAAUUCAAUAGUUUGCCGCUCAAGGUAAACACACUGAAGAUGACUGCGGGAACAAAUUUUGAUAAAAAAUUUGAGCGUUUGGAAAAUUUGAAAAAUGUGGGACGACCUCGCAGCCGCGGCAUACACAAAGCAACGGGCGGGGCCCCCAGAAUUAAGUAUAGUAGAGAACCGCAGAUGAGGUUUCUACUGGCACACAGACAAUUGGCAGCACGGGACGGACAACACAGGGGCCCCAAGUGGCCCCAUACAGCCCGAAAGAUGGUGAAACUAUGC